GAUGAACGCUGGCGGCGUGCCUAAUACAUGCAAGUCGAGCGAACGGACGAGAAGCUUGCUUCUCUGAUGUUAGCGGCGGACGGGUGAGUAACACGUGGAUAACCUACCUAUCAGACUGGGAUAACUUCGGGAAACCGGAGCUAAUACCGGAUAAUAUUUUGAACCGCAUGGUUCAAAAGUGAAAGACGGUCUUGCUGUCACUUAUAGAUGGAUCCGCGCUGCAUUAGCUAGUUGGUAAGGUAACGGCUUACCAAGGCAACGAUGCAUAGCCGACCUGAGAGAGUGAUCGGCCACACUGGAACGGAGACACGGACCAGACUCCUACGGGAGGCAGCAGUAGGGAAUCUUCCGCAAUGGGCGAAAGCCUGACGGAGCAACGCCGCGUGAGUGAUGAAGGUCUUCGGAUCGUAAAACUCUGUUAUUAGGGAAGAACAUAUGUGGAAGUAACUGUGCACAUCUUGACGGUACCGAAUCAGAAAGCCACGGCUAACUACGUG
RNAcentral lists this ribosomal RNA (497 nucleotides) under uncultured bacterium. RNAcentral's name for it is "partial 16S ribosomal RNA". It matches the Rfam family "Bacterial small subunit ribosomal RNA", at positions 28 to 507 of the family's 1533-position model. The record is from RNAcentral.